GACGAACGCUGGCGGCGUGCCUAAUACAUGCAAGUUGAGCGCUGAAGGUUGGUACUUGUACCAACUGGAUGAGCAGCGAACGGGUGAGUAACGCGUGGGGAAUCUGCCUUUGAGCGGGGGACAACAUUUGGAAACGAAUGCUAAUACCGCAUAAAAACUUUAAACACAAGUUUUAAGUUUGAAAGAUGCAAUUGCAUCACUCAAAGAUGAUCCCGCGUUGUAUUAGCUAGUUGGUGAGGUAAAGGCUCACCAAGGCGAUGAUACAUAGCCGACCUGAGAGGGUGAACGGCCAAAAUGGGAAUGGGACACGGGUCAAACCCCUACGGGAGGGAGCAGGAGGGAAACUUCGGCAAUGGACGAAAGGCUGAACGAGGAACGCCGGGUGAGGGAAGAAGGGUUUCGGGUCGUAAAACUCUGUUGGUAGAGAAGAAAGUUGGUGAGAGUGGAAAGCCCCUCAAGUGACGGUAACUAACCAGAAAGGGACGGCUAACUACGUG
Molecule: ribosomal RNA, 497 nt
Filed under: uncultured bacterium
Lineage: Bacteria
Description: partial 16S ribosomal RNA
Rfam family: Bacterial small subunit ribosomal RNA
Source: RNAcentral